RNAcentral lists this ribosomal RNA (253 nucleotides) under uncultured bacterium. RNAcentral's name for it is "partial 16S ribosomal RNA". It matches the Rfam family "Bacterial small subunit ribosomal RNA", at positions 524 to 776 of the family's 1533-position model. The record is from RNAcentral.
UACGGGGGAGCAAGCGUUGUUCGGAUUUACUGGGCGUAAAGGGCGCGUAGGCGGCCACCGCAAGUCGACUGUGAAAUCUCCGGGCUUAACUCGGAACGGUCAAGUGAUACUGUCGGACUAGAGUACAGAAGGGGCAACUGGAAUUCUCGGUGUAGCGGUGAAAUGCGUAGAUAUCGAGAGGAACACCUGCGGCGAAGGCGGGUUGCUGGGCUGAUACUGACGCUGAGGCGCGAAAGCCAGGGGAGCGAACGGG